Paramuricea clavata is the source of this 177-nucleotide non-coding RNA. The record is from the annotation of a GenBank genome assembly. Lineage: Eukaryota; Metazoa; Cnidaria; Anthozoa; Malacalcyonacea; Plexauridae.
UAUAAAAUAAAUAAUGAAUGUUUUUAUUCGUGCAAUGGUAAGAAUAUUUUCAUUCGGUGAAAGAUGGAAUGUUCCAUUCAACUCGGCUCUCGCCUCAUUGAAUGGAACAUUCCAUCUUUCACCUUAUGAAAAUAUUCUUACCAUUGCACGAAUGAAACAUUCAUUAUUUGUAUACUA